Molecule: long non-coding RNA, 355 nt
Filed under: Salvator merianae (Argentine black and white tegu)
Lineage: Eukaryota; Metazoa; Chordata; Lepidosauria; Squamata; Teiidae
Description: lncRNA (ENSSMRG00000004303.1)
Source: RNAcentral
UUUCAGGGGAAACAAUUGAAGAGAAAAGAUAGAAUAACCCAGAAAGUAUUUCUAUCUUCUUCCCAUCACUGUCCUUGAAAACCNACACCUGUAUUAUGUUAUCUCUGCUCCCUCAUCUCAGGAGAAAGUGAGUGGGGAGAAAGUUUGAAGAAAGCUUCUCUUCAAGAGAUAGAGAAAUGCAAAUAAGCCAGAGAUAGAGAAAUGCAAAUAAGCAGUUUACUAGGUGAAAAGAAUGAACCAUUUGAGCAGCCAGAAAAGGGUCUGUGAAUUCUAGCUUCAUCUUCAUUUGCCAUCCAGUGUGAAGACCAGUGAGAAGACUGCUGCAAAGAUCUAUUUGCAGAUUGUACAGAAUAGA